RNAcentral lists this ribosomal RNA (249 nucleotides) under uncultured bacterium. Its description in RNAcentral is "partial 16S ribosomal RNA". It matches the Rfam family "Bacterial small subunit ribosomal RNA", at positions 524 to 776 of the family's 1533-position model. The record is from RNAcentral.
UACGGAGGGACGAGCGUUGUCCGAAGUUACUGGGCGUAAAGCGCGCGUAGGCGGGUUGGCAAGUCUGCUGUGAAAGCCCGGGCUUAACCCGGAGGUCGGUGGAUACUGCCAGUCUUGAAGGUGCUAGGGGGAGAUGGAAUUACCGGUGUAGCGGUGAAAUGCGUAGAUAUCGGUAGGAACACCAGUGGCGAAGGCGGUCUCCUGGGGCACUCUUGACGCUGAGGCGCGAAAGCUGGGGGAGCGAACGGG